CCUACGGGAGGCUGCAGUGAGGAAUAUUGGUCAAUGGCCGCAGGGCUGAACCAGCCAAGUCGCGUGAGGGAUGACGGUCCUAUGGAUUGUAAACCUCUUUUGUCAGGGAGCAAAGUGCGCCACGUGUGGCGCUUUGCGAGUACCUGAAGAAAAAGCAUCGGCUAACUCCGUGCCAGCAGCCGCGGUAAUACGGAGGAUGCGAGCGUUAUGCGGAUUUAUUGGGUUUAAAGGGUGCGCAGCCGGAAUUUCAAGUCAGCGGUAAAAUUUCGGGGCUCAACCCCGUCGUGCCGUUGAAACUGGCGUUCUUGAGUGAGCGAGAAGUAUGCGGAAUGCGUGGUGUAGCGGUGAAAUGCAUAGAUAUCACGCAGAACUCCGAUUGCGAAGGCAGCAUACCGGCGCUCAACUGACGCUCAUGCACGAAAGCGUGGGUAUCGAACAGGAUUAGAUACCCCUGUAGUC
RNAcentral lists this ribosomal RNA (459 nucleotides) under uncultured bacterium. RNAcentral describes it as "partial 16S ribosomal RNA". It matches the Rfam family "Bacterial small subunit ribosomal RNA", at positions 338 to 795 of the family's 1533-position model. The record is from RNAcentral.